GACGAACGCUGGCGGCGUGCCUAAUACAUGCAAGUCGAACGCACAGUUUAUACCGUAGCUUGCUACACCAUAGACUGUGAGUUGCGAACGGGUGAGUAACGCGUAGCUAACCUGCCUGGUAGCGGGGGAUAACUAUUGGAAACGAUAGCUAAUACCGCAUAAUAUUAAUUAUUGCAUGAUAAUUAAUUGAAAGGUGCAAUUGCACCACUACCAGAUGGACCUGCGUUGUAUUAGCUAGUAGGUGAGGUAACGGCUCACCUAGGCGACGAUACAUAGCCGACAUGCGAUGGUGAGCGGCCGCACUGGGAGGGUGACACGGCACAGACGGCUAGGGGUGGCAGCAGGAGGGAAUCGUCGGCAAGGGGCGAAAGUCUGAGCGAGCAACGCCGCGUGAGGGAAGAAGGUUUUCGGAUCGGAAAGCUCGGUUGUAAGAGAAGAACGGGUGUGAGAGUGGAAAGUUCACAGUGUGACGGUAUCUUACCAGAAAGGGACGGCUAACUACGUG
RNAcentral lists this ribosomal RNA (505 nucleotides) under uncultured bacterium. RNAcentral's name for it is "partial 16S ribosomal RNA". It matches the Rfam family "Bacterial small subunit ribosomal RNA", at positions 28 to 507 of the family's 1533-position model. The record is from RNAcentral.